CAGCAGCCACGGUAAUGCGAAGGGGGCUAGCGUUGCUCGGAAUGACUGGGCGUAAAGGGCGCGUAGGCGGUUUUGACAGUCAGAUGUGAAAUUCCUGGGCUUAACCUGGGGGCUGCAUUUGAGACGUCAAGACUAGAGUGUGAGAAAGGGUUGUGGAAUUCCCAGUGUAGAGGUGAAAUUCGUAGAUAUUGGGAUGAACACCGGCGGCGAAGGCGGCAACCUGGCUCAUUACUGACGCUGAGGCGCGAAAGCGUGGGGAGCAAACAGGAUUAGAUACCCCGGUAGUCCCUGUCUCUUAUAC
Molecule: ribosomal RNA, 301 nt
Filed under: uncultured bacterium
Lineage: Bacteria
Description: partial 16S ribosomal RNA
Rfam family: Bacterial small subunit ribosomal RNA
Source: RNAcentral